AUUAGAUUAUGAUUUAUCUCA
RNAcentral lists this transfer RNA (21 nucleotides) under Canis lupus (wolf). RNAcentral describes it as "partial tRNA-Arg". The record is from RNAcentral. Lineage: Eukaryota; Metazoa; Chordata; Mammalia; Carnivora; Canidae.